Molecule: ribosomal RNA, 253 nt
Filed under: uncultured bacterium
Lineage: Bacteria
Description: partial 16S ribosomal RNA
Rfam family: Bacterial small subunit ribosomal RNA
Source: RNAcentral
UACGUAGGGCGCAAGCGUUAUCCGGAAUUAUUGGGCGUAAAGAGCUCGUAGGCGGCUCGUCGCGUCGACCGUGAAAACCCGCAGCUUAACUGCGGGCUUGCGGUUGAUACGGGCGGGCUAGAGUUCGGUAGGGGAGACUGGAAUUCCUGGUGUAGCGGUGAAAUGCGUAGAUAUCUGAAGGAACAUCAGUGGCGAAAGCGACUUCCUGGACGAAUACUGACGCUCAUGUGCGAAAGCGUGGGGAGCAAACAGG